CUGAUGGGCAAUCGGGUAUCAAAGUCUAUCAAUAUGAAACCUUGAUCGAAGAGUUCAAAUUUCAAAUUCAAAAUUUGAAAUUCAAAAUUUUAACCCCGGUAUCCAAAAUAUAUGGAACUCAUGAUCAGAGAAUCUUAAUUCUCAAUCAUAGAGGUUUAGACACAUAAGACUCAUAAUCAGCCAUCAGAUCAGAAAGGAACCUCUAAUAUGUGUGACCUCGCAGGUUCGAACCUAAGCCAGUAGCACAGGAAUCAAUUCCUGUACUAAUCGAAGUGACCAUCUAGCAAUGGUACCCGACGAUCGGAUAAGUCGAAUAGUUGCAAUCGCAAUACUCAGAACCUACGUGAAUAUGGUUACUGUAUAAUUCAUCCCUUUUGACCCCUGUGUUUAGGAUGACUCAGGGUUAAACUGUCAAUCCUGAUUAAAUCAUCCGAAUCGUGCUCAACUCAAUUAGUCCUGUGACUCCUCACUAGGACUACCCUGGCCAAGGUUUUGCUAAAUUAAAAUACGACUGUACACAGCUCCUAAACUGGAGUGGUCAAUCCCAUCUUGACACACGCACUGACAAGUCAAGUACUUGACUACACCCAGCAGCCUUCCGUCACUGAAUUAAAAAUUCAGGUAGUCCAGUGCCUAAGUGCAGUGAGUUGCUUGCAAGUCACCGUGGCGGUCUCAUGUCGGAGGGACAUUUAUACCCAUAUCCCAUCGGAGCAAAUCUUGACAGCAGAAAUAGCUUC
Molecule: long non-coding RNA, 737 nt
Filed under: Elaeis guineensis (African oil palm)
Lineage: Eukaryota; Viridiplantae; Streptophyta; Magnoliopsida; Arecales; Arecaceae
Description: long non-coding RNA (EGUI_LNC048783)
Source: RNAcentral